CAUUAGAGAUGCAAUUAUGAAAGUCCAAGAACUUCCUGUAGCUGUAAAUUUUGUUCUUAUUCACAAAAGGUUCAAAGACGGCAACAAAUUGUGCUUUGUUGAUACAAAUAAGAUAAUUUAAUCUGUGGAUUUAUUUUUUGGAUCUAACUCCCCUUAUAUUCCAGUAGAUUGCACUGAUCAUUAGAACAAUUGGGGGGUACUCAUUUUCACAAAGUGUGUAGUUCUUGCUUUGCUCCUUUUUCCUGUCUUUUUGGUUCUGCUUCUUUCUCUGCCACCAGGUAAAUCUUUAUCACUGUCAUUUUCAUCUUCUUAUAUAACUUCUUUGUGUUUUUCUGAUGUGACCUCAAGAGGAUCCUUUGGAGGGUUGUCUGGAAUCUGGUUACCUUCUGUGUUCUCCUCGGCAUUCUCACUAUUUCCCAUGGAGUUGGAUUCUGUAGCUUCUUUAGGGAUAUUGGUAUCUGAUGCAUCGCUAUUAGUGAUGGUGUUCUCCUCUUUGUUUUCCAUUCUAUUGUCAACCAUUUGAUUAUUUUCCAUCCCAUCCUUUAUGUCAUUAUUUUUGGAUUCCUCAUCUUCUGUUCAUAUAUUCCCCUUAUUUUCCUUAUCUUGUUCAGUGCUGCUAACAUUAGUAGGUUCUCUGUUGUUCUUCUCUUUAAAAUUGUUCAAGGUGUCAUAAGUACUUUUCUAAUCUAAUUGACUAUCGAUGGGCUGCAAAUCUUCAAUUCUGGAAUCAUUGUUGUUCUAUUGGAUCAAUGAGUGACUUUUUUGUGUCUUUUUCUUGGCUGCUCCUUGUGAUGUUGCAGGUUUGAAUAUCACUUUGUUCUUAUUUUUUGGCAUCUUCUUGGUUUUGGUCUUCUUGUUCUUUUUCUUGUUAGUAACAACAAUAACUAUUUGUCCCUCUUCUUCGUCAUUGACUGUAGCUUGAUCUCCCUGUUUCUCUUUAGUAACUUUUUGAGCAUUCUUUUCCUUAAUGCCCUAAAGAAUCUUGGCAAGAGUUUGUUCCUUCUCUUCAGACUUUUGUUGAAUUUUUUCUAGAUUUUUGCAUGUUGUUUGUCGUGUCUCCUUCCCCCCUUCAAUCUGAUUAGAGUUAGUAUCCUUAUCGUCAGUGAUGUUUUUUCCUUUGUUAUUUUCAUAUCCAUCUGGCAGCUUUAUAAAUUUCCUACAUUGCAGAAUUGAGUGCCCUAGCAACUUACAAUGUCGAUAGUACUUAGGGACAUUUUCAUACUCCAGCUUUUGGGUAAAACCUUUCAGCGGAUUGGUCUCAUAUUCCUGACCAACAAACACCGACUCUAGCUUAGGUUUAGUAAGGUCUACCUCCACCAUUACCUUAGCCAUACUUGGUCUCGUUGUAUGAUCAGUAGCCAAAUCCAUAGAUAAUGGAGUGACAAUAGGUCCAACAAUCUGCUUAACGUACUGCCAAGUGUGGCAAUGGAAUGACAAUUCAGGAAGGAGUACCCAAACCGGAACAAUAGGAGAGUCUUCCUCCAGCUUGAAAUCCGGAGGUCAUUUUUGCAGCCACAUAACUUGCCCCUCUAUUUCUAUGGAGCGUCUAUACCCAAUCUUGACAUUGCCCUUGACAAUAACUUUUUCAGCAAAUUUGGAUCGAAUUCUCUCUAUUUGAGGUCGAGUUCUUAGAAACUUACCGACAAUGGUCAAUCUGCAUUCUUCUGCCAUGAUUCCAUAGUAGUCGCUGGCCUUGAAGAUAACCGCCGGCAUUCCAUUGUGGGUGGAGUAUCGAGCUUUAACUUAUGGAUUACCAAAUUGACUUAUGUUAGGGCUUGGUUCUUUCGAAUCUUUCAAAGCUACAACAUAGUUGGAUGAGAUCGGAAUUCCUUCGCACAUACUAGUUGUCAUGUCUGGAGUCGGUGGAUUUUCAUUCAGACGCGCCGGAACAUUUCCCGUCGACGUCUCCAUAAUGAGGCGAGUAAGCACCAAUCACUCAAAAGAGGGCUAUUUUAGUUACCGUAGUAGGUUAAGGUAUUGAGGUACAGAGAGCAAUAUUUUUAAGAGAGAGAAAAGUUAUAAAGCGUUAGUAAUACACUACUAAAUUAAUAUUCUAGUUCAUGACCUAAUCUAAACAAACAGAAACAAGUUUAUUAUUUUCACAUUUUAACAUAGAUAUGGGUGGUGGGGUACAAGGGAGAAAAUGAAGGAGGAGACAAUGAUUUUGAAAUUAAAAGUUAACGAGGGGAUAACAUAUAUUACUUGGAAUUAAAAUUAAAAGGUGGCUUCAAAGUGGGGUAACUUUUGAUAAGGCAUGAUUGUCGUUAUUCUUUUGGUAUGUUUCCCUCUUCUCACAUUCCCUUAACAGCCACCGUGUAGAAAAACUUGUCCACCAUCUGCUCGAUAAAAACAAAGUUUUUGUAAUUGUGAUUUGUUACGUCAAUGAUUUUCCUUUUGACUUUAAUUUAAUGUAAAACUAUUUUAAUGUCGGUAUUGUUAUUCAGUAGCUUCUGUUCUUUCAAGAUUAAAAGUGAUGUCCAGGCAAAAGCUCUAAUUUCUGCAAAAACAAAUCUGAGAUUGGGGCUAAGAGUCUACUGAAGAGAAACCAUGGAUGAAUAUUUUCAAGAAAAAGGGUCAAAGGAACCUUUAUUAGAACCCAAAGAACCAGUGGUGGCUGUAGAGCAUGUAAGCUCUGAGCUUGAAAACAUAUUGUCUGACACAAGCUUGUCCAAUUUCGAGCAGCUUGGCCGGGCCUCUGUCGUUGAAUUGAAAAAUCUAUUCCGACUAGCAGCUCCAUCAAUCAUUGUUUAUUUGCUCAACAAUAUCACUUCUAUGUCUACCCAAAUAUUCUGUGGCCAUCUCGGUAAUCUUGAACUCGCAGCUGCUUCCCUUGGCAAUGAAGGUAUUCAACUCUUGGCUUAUGGCGUCAUGUUAGGGAUGGGGAGUGCAGUGGAGACACUAUGUGGGCAGGCAUAUGGAGCUCACAAGUAUGAAAGUCUUGGAAUAUAUCUUCAAAGAUCAACUAUUCUCUUGAUGUUAUCCGGAAUACCGAUAAUGGUGGCUUACUUAUUCUCAAAGCCAAUUUUAAUCUUAUUAGGAGAAUCAGAGAAAGUUGCAUCAGCAGCUGCAUUAUUCGUUUAUGGUUUAAUUCCCCAAAUAUUUGCUUAUGCUGCCAAUUUUCCUAUCCAAAAGUACUUGCAAGCCCAAAGUAUUGUAAAUCCUAGCGCGUAUAUAGCUGCAGCGACAUUAGUCCUCCAUCUUUUCUUAACAUGGAUUGUGCUUUAUGUAUUUGAGUGGGGAUUGUUUGGAGGAGCCUUGGUUCUAAGUAUUUCAUGGUGGAUAGUAGUCAUUGCACAAUUUAUGUACAUAUUGUGGAGUGAUAAAUGCAAGAAAACGUGGAGCGGAUUUAGUCUGCAAGCAUUUUCUGGGCUGUGGGAUUUCUUUAAGUUGUCAGCUGCUUCAUCUGUGAUGUUGUGUUUGGAGACGUGGUACUUUCAGAUUUUGGUUUUAGUUGCUGGUUUGCUACCAAAUCCUGAAGUGGCAUUGGACUCUCUAGCUGUUUGCAACACAAUUCUUGGAUGGGUGUUCAUGAUAUCUGUUGGUUUUAAUGCGGCAGCAAGUGUAAGGGUGAGCAAUGAAUUGGGCGCUGGACAUCCAAAAUCAGCUGCAUUUUCAGUUGUGGUGGUGACAUUAAGCUCGUUCGUGAUUGCUGUAGUCAUCGCCAUAGUAGUAAUGUUGCUUCGCGAUGUGAUGAGUUAUGCAUUCACGGGCGGGGAAACUAUUGCUAAAGCAUCCUCAGAACUUGCACCACUCUUGGCUGCCUCUGUAGUUCUCAAUGGUAUUCAACCUGUUUUAUCUGGCAGUAGAGUCCAUGUACUUUUUAAGGAAAAUGGAGGAACAAGGGGUGGCUGUUGGGUGUGGAUGGCAAGGUUUUGUGGCUUACGUUAAUGUCGGAUGUUACUACGUUGUUGGCAUUCCAUUGGGUGUUCUUCUUGGUUUCAAAUUCAAACUCGGAGCUAAGGGAUUAUGGCUGGGCAUGUUUGGAGGAACAGCCA
Nicotiana tabacum (common tobacco) is the source of this 3995-nucleotide non-coding RNA. The record is from RefSeq and is a predicted model, not a curated record. NCBI's taxonomy places the organism in Eukaryota, Viridiplantae, Streptophyta, Magnoliopsida, Solanales, Solanaceae.